GACGAACGCUGGCGGCGUGCCUAAUACAUGCAAGUAGAACGCUGAAGAGAGGAGCUUGCUCUUCUUGGAUGAGUUGCGAACGGGUGAGUAACGCGUAGGUAACCUGCCUUGUAGCGGGGGAUAACUAUUGGAAACGAUAGCUAAUACCGCAUAACAAUGGAUGACACAUGUCAUUUAUUUGAAAGGGGCAAUUGCUCCACUACAAGAUGGACCUGCGUUGUAUUAGCUAGUAGGUGAGGUAAUGGCUCACCUAGGCGACGAUACAUAGCCGACCUGAGAGGGUGAUCGGCCACACUGGGACUGGGACACGGCCCAGACUCCUACGGGAGGCAGCAGUAGGGAAUCUUCGGCAAUGGGGGCAACCCUGACCGAGCAACGCCGCGUGAGUGAAGAAGGGUUUCGGAUCGUAAAGCUCUGUUGUAAGUCAAGAAAGGGUGGGAGAGUGGAAAGUUCACACUGUGACGGUAGCUGACCAGAAAGGGACGGCUAACUACGUG
RNAcentral lists this ribosomal RNA (497 nucleotides) under uncultured bacterium. Its description in RNAcentral is "partial 16S ribosomal RNA". It matches the Rfam family "Bacterial small subunit ribosomal RNA", at positions 28 to 507 of the family's 1533-position model. The record is from RNAcentral.